RNAcentral lists this ribosomal RNA (953 nucleotides) under uncultured delta proteobacterium. RNAcentral's name for it is "bacterial SSU rRNA". It matches the Rfam family "Bacterial small subunit ribosomal RNA", at positions 8 to 937 of the family's 1533-position model. The record is from RNAcentral. Lineage: Bacteria; Deltaproteobacteria.
AGAGUUUGAUCAUGGCUCAGAACGAACGCUGGCGGCGUGCUUAACACAUGCAAGUCGAACGAGAAAGUUCUCUUCGGAGAGCGAGUAGAGUGGCGCACGGGUGAGUAACGCGUAGGUAAUCUACCCUUAUACCUGGGAUAACAUUGGGAAACUGGUGCUAAUACCGGAUACACUUUACUGCUGCGGGGCAGUAGAGGAAAGGUGGCCUCUUCAUGAAAGCUACCGUAUAGGGAUGAGCCUGCGUACCAUUAGCUAGUAGGUGGGGUAACGGCCCACCUAGGCGACGAUGGUUAGCGGGUCUGAGAGGAUGAUCCGCCACACUGGAACUGGAACACGGACCAGACUCCUACGGGAGGCAGCAGUGAGGAAUAUUGCGCAAUGGGGGAAACCCUGACGCAGCGACGCCGCGUGAGUGAGGAAGGCCUUCGGGUCGUAAAGCUCUGUCAGAAGGGAAGAAGUGUUAUACGGUUAAUACCCGUAUAAUUUGACGGUACCUUCAGAGGAAGCACCGGCUAACUCCGUGCCAGCAGCCGCGGUAAUACGGAGGGUGCGAGCGUUGUUCGGAAUUACUGGGCGUAAAGGGCGCGUAGGCGGCUUUAUAAGUCAGAUGUGAAAGCCCACGGCUUAACUGUGGAAGUGCAUUUGAAACUGUGAAGCUUGAGUAUCGGAGGGGAGUGUGGAAUUCCCGGUGUAGAGGUGAAAUUCGUAGAGAUCGGGAGGAACACCGGUGGCGAAGGCGACACUCUGGACGAAUACUGACGCUGAGGCGCGAAAGCGUGGGGAGCAAACAGGAUUAGAUACCCUGGUAGUCCACGCCGUAAACGAUGUGAACUAGAGGUAGGUGGUGUUGAUCCCAUCUGUCCCGCAGCUAACGCAUUAAGUUCACCGCCUGGGGAGUACGGUCGCAAGAUUAAAACUCAAAGGAAUUGACGGGGGCCCGCACAGCGGUGGAU